UAUGAAAAAAGUGGGAAUUGAGAAAAGCAGAAAAGACCCAGAGAGAAUUGAAAGAGCUGACAGAAGAGAGUGAGCACACACUAAACCUAAUUGUAUGAGAAAAUUAAAAAAAAGUUGAAAGUUCAUACCUUUACUUAGUAUGUGCUCAUUUCUCUUUCUGUCAGGCCCUUCUC
This 173-nucleotide microRNA precursor is filed under the name Cucumis melo (muskmelon). Its description in RNAcentral is "miR156i stem-loop (cme-MIR156i)". Its record names the gene cme-MIR156i. The record is from miRBase by way of RNAcentral. Lineage: Eukaryota; Viridiplantae; Streptophyta; Magnoliopsida; Cucurbitales; Cucurbitaceae.